UACGUAGGUGGCAAGCGUUGUUCGGAAUUAUUGGGCGUAAAGGGCGCGUAGGCGGCCUGUUAAGUCGGCUGUGAAAGCCUGGGGCUCAACCCCAGAGGGUCGGCCGAUACUGGCAAGCUAGAGUACGGAAGAGGUAGCUGGAAUUCCCGGUGUAGCGGUGAAAUGCGUAGAUAUCAGGAGGAACACCGAUGGCGAAGGCAGGUCUCUGGGCCACUACUGACGCUGAGAAGCGAAAGCGUGGGGAGCGAACAGG
RNAcentral lists this ribosomal RNA (253 nucleotides) under uncultured bacterium. RNAcentral's name for it is "partial 16S ribosomal RNA". It matches the Rfam family "Bacterial small subunit ribosomal RNA", at positions 524 to 776 of the family's 1533-position model. The record is from RNAcentral.